RNAcentral lists this ribosomal RNA (94 nucleotides) under Clostridium perfringens. Lineage: Bacteria; Bacillati; Bacillota; Clostridia; Eubacteriales; Clostridiaceae. The record is from RNAcentral.
AACACCCGUUCCCAUUCCGAACACGACGGUUAAGCCUUUAGAAGCCGAUGGUACUGCACGGGAGACUGUGUGGGAGAGUAGGUGGUCGCCAGGU